This 1077-nucleotide long non-coding RNA is filed under the name Anas platyrhynchos platyrhynchos (common mallard). Its description in RNAcentral is "lncRNA (ENSAPLG00000027053.1)". The record is from RNAcentral. Lineage: Eukaryota; Metazoa; Chordata; Aves; Anseriformes; Anatidae.
AUGUGGCAGCGGGAGCACUGCAAGCAGCAGGAGGGGUGGGGGGCGGCGGGCACUGGCCCGGUGAUGGGGUGGGAAGGUCCCCGCGGGCUGCCCGCCGGUAACGGUGCCGGUAACGGAGCCGGGCUAACGGAGUGCAAGAGGCGGCGGCGGAGCUGCCCUCGGGGCGCGGGGAGGACGAGGGGGGGCGAGCAGCGGAGCGGGGCCACGGCGCCGGCGCCCGGUGCCCGCCCCGCUGCGGCGAGGGGCAGAGUCCAGCGGGGGUCCCUACGGGGCAGCGGGAACAGGGCUCCCGCUGCCUUCCCACGGGGGCCGAGCGGCCCCUUCCCGGUGCAGCACGGCGGGGACGGCGGCGGACAGAGCGCGGCUCAGCCCCGGCCGCGCACCGCCGCUAAGACGGCCCCCGAGGGGGGCUGCGCGCCGGGGCCUCGCCCUCCUCCUCCGGCACGGAGCCGGGCCGGGCCCCCCUCCCCGAUCGGCCCCUCCGCUGUGCCCCCGGAGCCGGUGCCGAGUCCGGAGCGAAGCACGGGAGGCGGCGGGGAGCGCGGCGAGAGCCCCGCGGCCCGGCCACCCCUGCCCUGCCCCAGCCCCGCGGCGGGCAGCACGGCGGGGGCAGCGGGCACGGCCCGGGGAGAGCCCGGCAGCCCCUCCCCGCCUUUCUACUCACCCGGUGCGGGCAGCGGAGCCGAUCGCUACCUGGAAGGUUUGAGGUUGGUUGGGUCGGAAACGUGGCAGACUUUGUGUCCCGAACGGUUUCUUUCUUUUCUUUUCUAUUUUUUUUUUUUUUUUUCCCUCCUGGAGAGCAAACGAGCCUCCGGCGGGGAACUCCCCCGAGCGGGUCCCGGGGCAGGGCCCCUCCUGCCGCCCGCUGGGCUCCGUUUCCGCGCAGCCCCGAGCCCCAGCCCCGAGCCCCGGCCCCUUUCGGCACCGCCGCGGCAGCAGGAGCGGGGCUCGGCCGGGCUCACCGGGCUCCCGUGGCGGGGGCACGGCCGCGGGUGGGCCCCAGCCCCGAGCCCCCGGACCGGCCGCUUCCUCGGCGCGGCUGCUGCCGGAGCAUCCGGGAAAGGGGAGUUACCGUGA